This 83-nucleotide non-coding RNA is filed under the name Mycobacterium talmoniae. Its description in RNAcentral is "ZMP/ZTP riboswitch aptamer (pfl RNA motif)". It matches the Rfam family "ZMP/ZTP riboswitch aptamer (pfl RNA motif)". From Rfam's summary of the family: Previously known as pfl RNA. Lineage: Bacteria; Bacillati; Actinomycetota; Actinomycetes; Mycobacteriales; Mycobacteriaceae. The record is from Rfam by way of RNAcentral.
UGAUGUGGUCGUGACUGGCGCGGAAGGUGGAGCACCACCGGGGAGCGACCACAGCUGAUUCGCCGUGCGCCUGGGCAACUCGA